Molecule: long non-coding RNA, 1395 nt
Filed under: Panax ginseng (ginseng)
Lineage: Eukaryota; Viridiplantae; Streptophyta; Magnoliopsida; Apiales; Araliaceae
Description: long non-coding RNA (PGIN_LNC004641)
Source: RNAcentral
UUGAAAGCGAGUCAAGCAUUCCAAUCCCAGCGGAUGAGUCAAUAGCAGCAGAGUCAUGAAAAGAGCUAAAAGCAGCCUUUCUCUACAUACGAAACCACCAGGUACAUUUGCGUAUGAAACAAGAGCAGCUUCUUCUAGCUUAUUCAACCUCCCUUCAAUUCAUGAGACUUGGAAACUCUUGAUUCAGCAGUGAGGUCUAAAAAGACUCCCCUUCUCUCUAUCCUUAGCUCUAGUCAAGUGCUAUAGCAAGCUCACCCUGUGUUCAUCCGGGGACUCUAAUUCUUUUGAAGAGCCGAACUCUCUUCGGCAUUCGAUGCCUCUGCCUUACCUUUUUCUCAACAAAAGGAAAGAGUGAGAGCCUCGUAUAGAUGACUCCGGUAGGCGAGGACUCAAUUGCUUGGGUGCAUCGAUCAAAGUUAUGAUCUAGGGGCGCUAAAAGCAGAGAUUCGGGCUUUUUCCAGUCUUAUUCCUACCCUCUCCGCUGGGAAAUCCCUCUGCGGCCAGACUAUAGCUUGGUCUUUGUACUAGUUCUGCUUUCACAUGCUCUUUAACUUGCCUUCCGCAGGUUUCGAAGGAUACGUGCCAUUUUCCUUCACUCGAAAGAAGAGUCAGUGCUCUCCCUUUCAUUUCCAAUGAAAGAAAAAAGAAAUGAACAUCCCGAAGUCGAAAAGGAUAGGCAGAUUAAAAAAGAAAAGGAUGAAAUGAUGAAUACACAGGAGGAUCAGACGAAGAAUCGCGAUCUAUGGCAAUUUUAGUUUCAACAGAAGGCCAGUUCAAGUCAUCUCAUUGAUGUUCAUCACCUGUCACAACUCUCGAUAAAUGGCUUUCUUUUUGAAGCCUACAGGAGCUCGUGAUCUUCCUUGAUUUCAGGAAUGAGUUAGCCUAUAGUAUAAUAUUUUUUAAGAUUACCCCCUCAUUGAGUAUGAAAUUCUUAGUGUACCAUAGGCGGUAAUCUGGCUUGAAUCGAUUCCUUUAUAGUGGAAGGGGCUAGCCUGCCUUGAACUUGAAGUGGGUCUCUCCCAUAUCUGUUUAACUGGCCUUUUGACUACAAAGAGAUUGCCAUAGAUCGAAACGGAUUCCAGGUGUAUUCCGAAGGCUAACUGAACUAAACGAACGAGCUAUCAGAUCGAUUGAAGAGAUCCUACGCCUGAACUCAUGCACUCAUAAACUGGCUUAGACCGGCUUGAACAGCUUACCCCUACUAUACUAUACGGUCCAUUCACAUUCCUUAUUUCCCUUAUUUGAAUGAUCAUUAUUUGUGAGAGUCUUAAUUCAUUCUUCCCUUGACAACUGAGCUUUCCCCUUCCUGUAUAGAAGCCUAAAGUAAAGUAUGGGCCUAAGACUCCACUUUGGUUGAGUAUCCACCGCUACGAAGCAAGAACUGGAGACUNNNNN